Molecule: transfer RNA, 76 nt
Filed under: Cellulomonas hominis
Lineage: Bacteria; Bacillati; Actinomycetota; Actinomycetes; Micrococcales; Cellulomonadaceae
Description: tRNA-Gly
Source: RNAcentral
GUGGGUGUAGCUCAGCUGGCAGAGCGCGAGGUCGCCAUCCUCGAGGCCGCGGGAUCGAGACCCGUCACCCACUCCA